AACGCACAUUGCGCUCUUUGGUAUUCCGGAGAGCAUGCUUCUUUGAGAAUCAGUAAAUUCAUCAACCCCGAUUUUCUGGAAUUUAUUCCGGUCGAUUGAAGGUUGGAUCUGGGCCAUUUGCCGUCUCACGACAGCAAUAACCUGAAAUUGAAUGUUACGCUCCAUUGAACUGAAAAGUUUUGGGCAAACGCAUGAAUGAGGUAACUCAGCAGUACGUUAGCCUUUGAAACUAAUCAAUUGAAUGUUUGGGUAGCUCAACUGAUUACACAGGAUUUGUUGGCACCAGCCAGCAUCUUCUGAACUCUUGGUCUCAAAUGAAGUAGGAAAACCCGCUGAACUUAA
RNAcentral lists this unclassified non-coding RNA (342 nucleotides) under uncultured fungus. RNAcentral's name for it is "sequence contains 5.8S rRNA gene, ITS2, 28S rRNA gene". Lineage: Eukaryota; Fungi. The record is from RNAcentral.